AACAUCGCGCACCUGCGGGAACCUGCGGAAGGAUCAUCAUCGAAUUCAUAUCCCCCUCCUCUCCCGGAGGGGGACCCAUGAUAAACCCUUCUGUGCACCGUAACCCGUUCACUUUGGCAGGCUUUGGUGGUGGGCGUGAGCUCGCCUCCAACCUCGCGUUCCUCCCUCCCUAUAAGGGUUGCGUGGCGGCCUGCCGGAGUCCUAUUAAAAAACUCGUUUUCGAACACGUCUGAAAAUUUC
RNAcentral lists this unclassified non-coding RNA (240 nucleotides) under soil metagenome. Its description in RNAcentral is "partial contains 5.8S ribosomal RNA, internal transcribed spacer 2, and large subunit ribosomal RNA". The record is from RNAcentral.